RNAcentral lists this unclassified non-coding RNA (784 nucleotides) under Hevea brasiliensis (rubber tree). Lineage: Eukaryota; Viridiplantae; Streptophyta; Magnoliopsida; Malpighiales; Euphorbiaceae. The record is from RNAcentral.
GCUAGAGUCUUGAUACCCAUUAAACUGACAAAUUACUGAAUUGCUGCUCUAAACAAGGCUGGUAAACUGUUGCCCUUAGACCAGUGGGGUUAUGACUUUACUUUUUAUCUUCCAAAAGAAAUUGUAUAAAAUUUAAUAAUUUCCCUGGAAUGAUAUUUCAUAUUUAGUGGGUAAUGUCAUCAAUUCAAGCAGGUUAGUACCUUGCUAUUCUGCGGUAUAUCACUUAAAUCUGAUCCCCUUCGCGUGCUUCUAAAUUUGUGUGAUUGCAUGUUGGACUUUAGCCUUCCUUUUUUUAAUAGAAAGAAGUGUGUUUUGCAGAUGUGUAUUCCUUCUUAGUCCUUUUCCCUUUGCUUAUUUUACACUUUUGAAUAAUUUUGAUUCUUUCAAAAGGAAAGAUCUUGCGGCUUGUAUUAUUAUAUAAAUGGUCAGAAUUGAACUCUCCUCCUUUCUUGUCCUGAAAAGAAACAUAUAUACAUUCAAUUGGUAUUAAAAAAAUUUUAAAAGAAAAGUUACUACUUCAUCUGUAUAUCCUUUGUGCCCACUUGUCUGCUGACAAUUAAAUUCCUACCAAGAAUUUGUGAUCCUUGGAAGUUUAUCUGCUGCCUGCCAACAUAUUAUUGAUUUGAGCAAUCUGUUUGUCUAUGUUUUAAGCACAUAGUUGUGAGAAAUUGUUAGUCCAAUUGUUUAUGUCAACCUCAGGUAAUGAUUCUAGAGUCAGCCAGUUGAUACUGCUGAUUCUGUGAUGUUAGUUCCCAGUUUCCUGGCUAAGAAUUCAUUUUGUUCU